AAGGGGCAGUAAUGCAUGGGUACCUACCCGGUGGUUGAGCAUAGCCGUCCUAACGGACGGGUAAUACUCGAUGACGUCGUAAGACCAAAGCUCCGGCGCCGUCGGAGGGGCCCAUGUCGGAUUAGCUAGUUGGGGGGGUAACGGCCCACCAAGGCAAAGAUCUGUAGCGGGUGUGAGAGCACGACCCGCGCCACUGGCACUGAGACACUGGCCAGACACCUACGGGUGGCUGCAGUCGAGGAUCUUCGUCAAUGGGCGAAAGCCUGAACGAGCGAUGCCGCGUGUGCGAUGAAGGCCUUCGGGUUGUAAAGCACAAAAGAGAUGAGAAAGGGCAACUUGAUCGAAUCUCAGUAAGCUCGGGCUAAGUUCGUGCCAGCAGCCGCGGUAAGACGAACCGAGCGAACGUUGUUCGGAAUCACUGGGCUUAAAGGGCGCGUAGGCGGGCGGCUAAGUCCGCGGUGAAAUCCUCCAGCUCAACUGGAGAACUGCCGUGGAUACUGGUCGUCUCGAGGAAGGUAGGGGUAUGCGGAACUAUCGGUGGAGCGGUGAAAUGCGUUGA
Molecule: ribosomal RNA, 559 nt
Filed under: uncultured Zavarzinella sp.
Lineage: Bacteria; Pseudomonadati; Planctomycetota; Planctomycetia; Gemmatales; Gemmataceae
Description: bacterial SSU rRNA
Rfam family: Bacterial small subunit ribosomal RNA
Source: RNAcentral